This is a long non-coding RNA of Oncorhynchus keta (chum salmon), 4170 nucleotides long. RefSeq lists it as uncharacterized. The transcript is spliced from 6 exons. The record is from RefSeq and is a predicted model, not a curated record. Lineage: Eukaryota; Metazoa; Chordata; Actinopteri; Salmoniformes; Salmonidae.
UGUAUUGGGUUUAUCUAGUUGUGAUGAUGAUGUGUUUCAGGUGUAUUGGGUUUAUCUAGUUGUGAUGAUGAUGUGUUUCAGGUGUAUUGGGUUUAUCUAGUUGUGAUGAUGAUGUGUUUCAGGUGUAUUGGGUUUAUCUAGUUGUUAUGAUGAUGUGUCUCAGGUGUAUUGGGUUUAUCUAGUUGUGAUGAUGAUGUGUUUCAGGUGUAUUGGGUUUAUCUAGUUGUGAUGAUGAUGUGUUUCAGGUGUAUUGGGUUUAUCUAGUUGUGAUGAUGAUGUGUUUCAGGUGUAUUGGGUUUAUCUAGUUGUGAUGAUGAUGUGUUUCAGGUGUAUUGGGUUUAUCUAGUUGUGAUGUGUUUCAGGUGUAUUGGGUUUAUCUAGUUGUGAUGAUGAUGUGUGUCAGGUGUAUUGGGUUUAUCUAGUUGUGAUGAUGAUGUGUUUCAGGUGUAUUGGGUUUAUCUAGUUGUUAUGAUGAUGUGUCUCAGGUGUAUUGGGUUUAUCUAGUUGUGAUGAUGAUGUGUUUCAGGUGUAUUGGGUUUAUCUAGUUGUGAUGUGUUUCAGGUGUAUUGGGUUUAUCUAGUUGUGAUGAUGAUGUGUGUCAGGUGUAUUGGGUUUAUCUAGUUGUUAUGAUGAUGUGUCUCAGGUGUAUUGGGUUUAUCUAGUUGUUAUGAUGAUGUGUCUCAGGUGUAUUGGGUUUAUCUAGUUGUGAUGAUGAUGUGUGUCAGGUGUAUUGGGUUUAUCUAGUUGUGAUGAUGAUGUGUGUCAGGUGUAUUGGGUUUAUCUAGUUGUCAUGAUGAUGUGUUUCAGGUGUAUUGGGUUUAUCUCGUUGUUAUGAUGAUGUGUGUCAGGUGUAUUGGGUUUAUCUAGUUGUGAUGAUGAUGUGUGUCAGGUGUAUUGGGUUUAUCUAGUUGUCAUGAUGAUGUGUGUGUCAGGUGUAUUGGGUUUAUCUAGUUGUGAUGAUGAUGUGUAUUGGGUUUAUCUAGUUGUGAUGAUGAUGUGUAUUGGGUUUAUCUAGUUGUGAUGAUGAUGAUGUGUGUCAGGUGUAUUGGGUUUAUCUAGUUGUGAUGAUGAUGUGUAUUGGGUUUAUCUAGUUGUGAUGAUGAUGAUGUGUGUCAGGUGUAUUGGGUUUAUCUAGUUGUGAUGAUGGUGUAUUGGGUUUUUCUAGUUGUGAUGAUGAUGUGUUUCAGGUGUAUUGGGUUUAUCUAGUUGUGAUGAUGAUGUGUUUCAGGUGUAUUGGGUUUAUCUAGUUGUGAUGAUGGUGUAUUGGGUUUUUCUAGUUGUGAUGAUGAUGUGUUUCAGGUGUAUUGGGUUUAUCUAGUUGUGAUGAUGAUGUGUUUCAGGUGUAUUGGGUUUAUCUAGUUGUGAUGAUGAUGUGUUUCAGGUGUAUUGGGUUUAUCUAGUUGUUAUGAUGAUGUGUUUCAGGUGUAUUGGGUUUAUCUAGUUGUUAUGAUGAUGUGUGUCAGGUGUAUUGGGUUUAUCUAGUUGUGAUGAUGAUGUGUUUCAGGUGUAUUGGGUUUAUCUAGUUGUGAUGAUGAUGUGUUUCAGGUGUAUUGGGUUUAUCUAGUUGUGAUGAUGAUGUGUUUCAGGUGUAUUGGGUUUAUCUAGUUGUGAUGAUGAUGUGUGUCAGGUGUAUUGGGUUUAUCUAGUUGUGAUGAUGAUGUGUUUCAGGUGUAUUGGGUUUAUCUAGUUGUGAUGAUGAUGUGUGUCAGGUGUAUUGGGUUUAUCUAGUUGUUAUGAUGAUGAUGUGUCUCAGAUGUAUUGGGUUUAUCUAGUUGUGAUGAUGAUGUGUUUCAGGUGUAUUGGGUUUAUCUAGUUGUGAUGAUGAUGUGUUUCAGGUGUAUUGGGUUUAUCUAGUUGUGAUGAUGAUGUGUUUCAGGUGUAUUGGGUUUAUCUAGUUGUGAUGAUGAUGUGUUUCAGGUGUAUUGGGUUUAUCUAGUUGUCAUGAUGAUGUGUUUCAGGUGUAUUGGGUUUAUCUAGUUGUGAUGAUGAUGUGUUUCAGGUGUAUUGGGUUUAUCUAGUUGUCAUGAUGAUGUGUUUCAGGUGUAUUGGGUUUAUCUAGUUGUUAUGAUGAUGAUGAUGAUGAUGUGUUUCAGGUGUAUUGGGUUUAUCUAGUUGUGAUGAUGAUGUGUCUCAGGUGUAUUGGGUUUAUCUAGUUGUGAUGAUGAUGAUGUGUCUCAGGUGUAUUGGGUUUAUCUAGUUGUGAUGAUGAUGUGUCUCAGGUGUAUUGGGUUUAUCUAGUUGUGAUGAUGAUGAUGUGUCUCAGGUGUAUUGGGUUCAUCUAGUUGUGAUGAUGAUGUGUCUCAGGUGUAUUGGGUUUAUCUAGUUGUGAUGAUGAUGAUGUGUCUCAGGUGUAUUGGGUUUAUCUAGUUGUGAUGAUGAUGUGUCUCAGGUGUAUUGGGUUUAUCUAGUUGUGAUGAUGAUGAUGUGUCUCAGGUGUAUUGGGUUUAUCUAGUUGUGAUGAUGAUGUGUCUCAGGUGUAUUGGGUUUAUCUAGUUGUGAUGAUGAUGAUGUGUCUCAGGUGUAUUGGGUUUAUCUAGUUGUGAUGAUGAUGAUGUGUCUCAGGUGUAUUGGGUUUAUCUAGUUGUGAUGAUGAUGUGUCUCAGGUGUAUUGGGUUUAUCUAGUUGUGAUGAUGAUGAUGUGUCUCAGGUGUAUUGGGUUCAUCUAGUUGUGAUGAUGAUGUGUCUCAGGUGUAUUGGGUUUAUCUAGUUGUGAUGAUGAUGAUGUGUCUCAGGUGUAUUGGGUUUAUCUAGUUGUGAUGAUGAUGUGUCUCAGGUGUAUUGGGUUUAUCUAGUUGUGAUGAUGAUGUGUCUCAGGUGUAUUGGGUUUAUCUAGUUGUGAUGAUGAUGAUGUGUCUCAGGUGUAUUGGGUUCAUCUAGUUGUGAUGAUGAUGUGUCUCAGGUGUAUUGGGUUUAUCUAGUUGUGAUGAUGAUGUGUCUCAGGUGUAUUGGGUUUAUCUAGUUGUGAUGAUGAUGAUGUGUCUCAGAUGUAUUGGGUUUAUCUAGUUGUGAUGAUGAUGUGUGUCAGGUGUAUUGGGUUUAUCUAGUUGUGAUGAUGGUGUAUUGGGUUUAUCUAGUUGUGAUGAUGAUGUGUUUCAGGUGUAUUGGGUUUAUCUAGUUGUGAUGAUGAUGAUGUGUCUCAGAUGUAUUGGGUUUAUCUAGUUGUGAUGAUGAUGUGUGUCAGGUGUAUUGGGUUUAUCUAGUUGUGAUGAUGGUGUAUUGGGUUUUUCUAGUUGUGAUGAUGAUGUGUUUCAGGUGUAUUGGGUUUAUCUAGUUGUGAUGAUGAUGUGUGUCAGGUGUAUUGGGUUUAUCUAGUUGUGAUGAUGGUGUAUUGGGUUUUUCUAGUUGUGAUGAUGAUGUGUUUCAGGUGUAUUGGGUUUAUCUAGUUGUGAUGAUGAUGUGUUUCAGGUGUAUUGGGUUUAUCUAGUUGUUAUGAUGAUGUGUGUCAGGUGUAUUGGGUUUAUCUAGUUGUGAUGAUGGUGUAUUGGGUUUUUCUAGUUGUGAUGAUGAUGUGUUUCAGGUGUAUUGGGUUUAUCUAGUUGUGAUGAUGAUGUGUGUCAGGUGUAUUGGGUUUAUCUAGUUGUGAUGAUGGUGUAUUGGGUUUUUCUAGUUGUGAUGAUGAUGUGUUUCAGGUGUAUUGGGUUUAUCUAGUUGUGAUGAUGAUGUGUUUCAGGUGUAUUGGGUUUAUCUAGUUGUGAUGAUGAUGUGUGUCAGGUGUAUUGGGUUUAUCUAGUUGUGAUGAUGAUGUGUUUCAGGUGUAUUGGGUUUAUCUAGUUGUGAUGAUGGUGUAUUGGGUUUUUCUAGUUGUGAUGAUGAUGUGUUUCAGGUGUAUUGGGUUUAUCUAGUUGUGAUGAUGAUGUGUUUCAGGUGUAUUGGGUUUAUCUAGUUGUGAUGAUGGUGUAUUGGGUUUUUCUAGUUGUGAUGAUGAUGUGUUUCAGGUGUAUUGGGUUUAUCUAGUUGUGAUGAUGAUGUGUUUCAGGUGUAUUGGGUUUAUCUAGUUGUGAUGAUGAUGUGUUUCAGGUGUAUUGGGUUUAUCUAGUUGUGAUGAUGAUGUGUUUCAGGUGUAUUGGGUUUAUCUAGUUGUUAUGAUGAUGUGUUUCAGGUGUAUUGGGUUUAUCUAGUUGUUAUGAUGAUGUGUGUCAGGUGUAUUGGGUUUAUCUAGUUGUGAUGAUG